AAUCAACGCUGGCGGCGUGCCUCAGACAUGCAAGUCGAACGAUUAAACUUCCCUUCGGGGAAGAUAUAAAGUGGCGCACGGGUGAGUAACACGUAAGUAAUCUACCUUCGAGUGGGGAAUAACGUUCGGAAACGGACGCUAAUACCGCAUAAUGCAGCGGCAUCGCAAGAUGACAGUUGUUAAAGAUUUAUCGCUUGAAGAGGAGCUUGCGGCAGAUUAGCUAGNGGUAAGGUAAUGGCUUACCAAGGCUACGAUC
This 256-nucleotide ribosomal RNA is filed under the name uncultured bacterium. Its description in RNAcentral is "partial 16S ribosomal RNA". It matches the Rfam family "Bacterial small subunit ribosomal RNA", at positions 32 to 281 of the family's 1533-position model. The record is from RNAcentral.